AUUGAACGCUGGCGGCAUGCCUUACACAUGCAAGUCGAACGGCAGCAUGAUCUAGCUUGCUAGAUUGAUGGCGAGUGGCGAACGGGUGAGUAAUACAUCGGAACGUGCCCUGUAGUGGGGGAUAACUAGUCGAAAGAUUAGCUAAUACCGCAUACGACCUGAGGGUGAAAGUGGGGGACCCAAGGCCUCAUGCUAUAGGAGCGGCCGAUGUCUGAUUAGCUAGUUGGUGAGGUAAAGGCUCACCAAGGCGACGAUCAGUAGCUGGUCUGAGAGGACGAUCAGCCACACUGGGACUGAGACACGGCCCAGACUCCUACGGGAGGCAGCAGUGGGGAAUUUUGGACAAUGGGCGAAAGCCUGAUCCAGCAAUGCCGCGUGUGUGAAGAAGGCCUUCGGGUUGUAAAGCACUUUUGUCCGGAAAGAAAUGGCUCUGGUUAAUACCUGGGGUCGAUGACGGUACCGGAAGAAUAAGGACCGGCUAACUACGUG
This 489-nucleotide ribosomal RNA is filed under the name uncultured bacterium. RNAcentral describes it as "partial 16S ribosomal RNA". It matches the Rfam family "Bacterial small subunit ribosomal RNA", at positions 30 to 507 of the family's 1533-position model. The record is from RNAcentral.